UACGCAGGGGGCUAGCGUUGCUCGGAAUCACUGGGCGUAAAGCGCACGUAGGCGGCUUUUUAAGUCAGGGGUGAAAUCCUGGAGCUCAACUCCAGAACUGCCUUUGAUACUGAGAAGCUUGAGUCCGGGAGAGGUGAGUGGAACUGCGAGUGUAGAGGUGAAAUUCGUAGAUAUUCGCAAGAACACCAGUGGCGAAGGCGGCUCACUGGCCCGGUACUGACGCUGAGGUGCGAAAGCGUGGGGAGCGAACAGG
Molecule: ribosomal RNA, 253 nt
Filed under: uncultured bacterium
Lineage: Bacteria
Description: partial 16S ribosomal RNA
Rfam family: Bacterial small subunit ribosomal RNA
Source: RNAcentral